Molecule: ribosomal RNA, 253 nt
Filed under: uncultured bacterium
Lineage: Bacteria
Description: partial 16S ribosomal RNA
Rfam family: Bacterial small subunit ribosomal RNA
Source: RNAcentral
AACGUAGGAGACAAACGUUAUCCGGAGUUACUGGGCGUAAAGGGCGUGUAGGCGGUUUCGUAAGUCUGGCGUGAAAUUUUUCGGCUUAACCGGGAAAGGUCGUCGGAUACUGCGGAACUAGAGGACGGUAGAGGCGUGUGGAAUUCCGGGUGUAGUGGUGAAAUGCGUAGAGAUCCGGAGGAACACCAGUGGCGAAGGCGACACGCUGGGCCGUACCUGACACUGAUGCGCGACAGCAUGGGGAGCAAACAGG